Cicer arietinum (chickpea) is the source of this 543-nucleotide long non-coding RNA. RefSeq lists it as uncharacterized. The record is from RefSeq and is a predicted model, not a curated record. NCBI's taxonomy places the organism in Eukaryota, Viridiplantae, Streptophyta, Magnoliopsida, Fabales, Fabaceae.
AGAAGAAACAAACGCCUACUAUAAAUAGCAACACAGCUACCGUAAUUGGAACCACAAUUGCAACAAUUGUCCCUGAUGAGAUUCCACUACUUCCUGCAAUAUUCCAAACUGAGAGAAUUCCUACUUCGACAUAGUGCAAGUGCGAGUUUUUCUCAAAACUCUAAGUUUGGGGUGGAGGCGACGAUGAAAAUAAGGAAAUGUCCCCUAUUACAUCACUGAGACACAUUCCGCAAUCUUGAGCUUACUAUUGGAACGUAGUUGGACUACUCUGUCUCUGUUUGAUCGUCUUUGUCACAAGUCAAUGAAGCAAGGUCAACAUAUUAUUAUUUGAUUAUUUCGUUGUCCCGAUAAGUUUUUUUCUCCCUGAAAUAAGCUUUAUUGACUUGCUUGUAAUUUAAAAGUAAUAUUUUUUUGACCGGAUUUAAAAAUUAUAUAUAGUUAGAAAACUUUGUAAAGUAUUAUUAGUCCUUCACUGAUUUAUAAAAUAUUGGUUUAAAUAUUUGUUUUUUAUUUACUCAAUUUAAAUAGUCAUGUUGAGAUCAA